Molecule: long non-coding RNA, 136 nt
Organism: Cheilinus undulatus (humphead wrasse)
Lineage: Eukaryota; Metazoa; Chordata; Actinopteri; Labriformes; Labridae
Exons: 3
Source: RefSeq, a predicted model, not a curated record
AGAUCUGGAACUUUUUAACAAGACUGGGACGGAUUAUCUGCUUGAGAGGAGCUCCGCCUGCAGCUUAACCAGCACAUAUGAAUGAGAUUAGUGAUGGGAACUCCAGCUCUUAGGGGGACCUGGAUCAUCUGGCUCA